This 253-nucleotide ribosomal RNA is filed under the name uncultured bacterium. RNAcentral describes it as "partial 16S ribosomal RNA". It matches the Rfam family "Bacterial small subunit ribosomal RNA", at positions 524 to 776 of the family's 1533-position model. The record is from RNAcentral.
UACGUAGGGGGCUAGCGUUGUCCGGAAUCAUUGGGCGUAAAGCGCGUGUAGGCGGUCCGGUAAGUCCGCUGUGAAAGUCGGGGGCUCAACCCUCGGAUGCCGGUGGAUACUGUCGGGCUUGAGUGCGGAAGAGGCGAGUGGAAUUCCUGGUGUAGCGGUGAAAUGCGCAGAUAUCAGGAGGAACACCAAUUGCGAAGGCAGCUCGCUGGGACGUUACUGACGCUGAUGCGCGAAAGCGUGGGGAGCAAACAGG